RNAcentral lists this transfer RNA (73 nucleotides) under Diaphorina citri (Asian citrus psyllid). It matches the Rfam family "tRNA". Rfam says of the family: Transfer RNA (tRNA) molecules are approximately 80 nucleotides in length. Their secondary structure includes four short double-helical elements and three loops (D, anti-codon, and T loops). The record is from Rfam by way of RNAcentral. Lineage: Eukaryota; Metazoa; Arthropoda; Insecta; Hemiptera; Psyllidae.
GCCUAGUUAGCUUAGUUGGUAGGACGUCUGCCUUGUAAGCUCUAGGCCGCGGGUUCGAUUCCCGCCCGGGGCG